Molecule: ribosomal RNA, 468 nt
Filed under: uncultured bacterium
Lineage: Bacteria
Description: partial 16S ribosomal RNA
Rfam family: Bacterial small subunit ribosomal RNA
Source: RNAcentral
GACGAACGCUGGCGGCGUGCUUAACACAUGCAAGUCGAACGGAAAGGCCCUGCUUUUGUGGGGUGCUCGAGUGGCGAACGGGUGAGUAACACGUGAGUAACCUGCCCUUGACUUUGGGAUAACUUCAGGAAACUGGGGCUAAUACCGGAUAGGAGCUCCUGCUGCAUGGUGGGGGUUGGAAAGUUUCGGCGGUUGGGGAUGGACUCGCGGCUUAUCAGCUUGUUGGUGGGGUAGUGGCUUACCAAGGCUUUGACGGGUAGCCGGCCUGAGAGGGUGACCGGCCACAAUGGGACUGAGAUACGGACCAGACUCCUACGGGAGGCAGCAGUGGGGAAUAUUGCACAAUGGGCGGAAGCCUGAUGCAGCAACGCCGCGUGCGGGAUGACGGCCUUCGGGUUGUAAACCGCUUUCGCCUGUGACGAAGCGUGAGUGACGGUAAUGGGUAAAGAAGCACCGGCUAACUACGUG